RNAcentral lists this ribosomal RNA (478 nucleotides) under uncultured bacterium. RNAcentral's name for it is "partial 16S ribosomal RNA". It matches the Rfam family "Bacterial small subunit ribosomal RNA", at positions 28 to 507 of the family's 1533-position model. The record is from RNAcentral.
GAUUAACGCUGGCGGCGUGCAUAACACAUGCAAGUCGAACGAUGAAACUCAUUAGAUUUCUUCGGAAUGAAACUGAAUGGAUUAGUGGCGAACGGGUGAGUAACGCGUGAGUAACCUGCCUUACACAAGGGGAUAGCCUCUGGAAACGGAGAAUAAUACCCUAUGAAACCAGACAAUCGCAUGAUAACCUGGUCAAAAUGUUUAGUGGUGUAAGAUGGACUUGCGUCUGAUUAGCUAGUUGGUGAGAUAAAAGCUCACCAAGGCAACGAUCAGUAGCCGGCUUGAGAGAGUGUACGGCCACAUUGGGACUGAGACACGGCCCAGACUCCUACGGGAGGCAGCAGUGGGGAAUUUUGCACAAUGGGGGAAACCCUGAUGCAGCGACGCCGCGAGAUUUAGAAGGCCUUCGGGUUGUAAAAAUCUUUUGUAUAGGAAGAAAAUGACAGUACUAUACGAAUAAGGUCCGGCUAAUUACGUG